UAAGUGAUGGGUUUGCCGCAAUGACGU
This 27-nucleotide non-coding RNA is filed under the name Mus musculus (house mouse). The record is from RNAcentral. Lineage: Eukaryota; Metazoa; Chordata; Mammalia; Rodentia; Muridae.